GGAAAAGAAACUAACAAGGAUUCCCCUAGUAACUGCGAGUGAAGCGGGAAAAGCUCAAAUUUAAAAUCUGGCGGUCUUUGGCCGUCCGAGUUGUAAUCUAGAGAAGUAAUGCCCGUGCUGGACCGUGUAUAAGUCUCCUGGGAUGGGGCGUCAUAGAGGGUGAGAAUCCCGUCUUUGACACGGACUACCAGUGCAUUGUGGUAUGCUCUCAAAGAGUCGAGUUGUUUGGGAAUGCAGCUCAAAAUGGGUGGUAAAUUCCAUCUAAAGCUAAAUAUUGGCGAGAGACCGAUAGCGAACAAGUACCGUGAGGGAAAGAUGAAAAGAACUUUGGAAAGAGAGUUAAACAGUACGUGAAA
Molecule: ribosomal RNA, 356 nt
Filed under: Escherichia coli
Lineage: Bacteria; Pseudomonadati; Pseudomonadota; Gammaproteobacteria; Enterobacterales; Enterobacteriaceae
Description: partial 23S ribosomal RNA
Rfam family: Eukaryotic large subunit ribosomal RNA
Source: RNAcentral